AGAGUUUGAUCAUGGCUCAGAUUGAACGCUGGCGGCAUGCCUUACACAUGCAAGUCGAACGGUAACAGGUCUUCGGAUGCUGACGAGUGGCGAACGGGUGAGUAAUACAUCGGAACGUGCCCGAUCGUGGGGGAUAACGAGGCGAAAGCUUUGCUAAUACCGCAUACGAUCUACGGAUGAAAGCGGGGGAUCUUCGGACCUCGCGCGGACGGAGCGGCCGAUGGCAGAUUAGGUAGUUGGUGGGAUAAAAGCUUACCAAGCCGACGAUCUGUAGCUGGUCUGAGAGGAUGAUCAGCCACACUGGGACUGAGACACGGCCCAGACUCCUACGGGAGGCAGCAGUGGGGAAUUUUGGACAAUGGGCGAAAGCCUGAUCCAGCCAUGCCGCGUGCAGGAUGAAGGCCUUCGGGUUGUAAACUGCUUUUGUACGGAACGAAAAGCCUCUUUCUAAUAAAGAGGGGUCAUGACGGUACCGUAAGAAUAAGCACCGGCUAACUACGUGCCAGCAGCCGCGGUAAUACGUAGGGUGCAAGCGUUAAUCGGAAUUACUGGGCGUAAAGCGUGCGCAGGCGGUGAUGUAAGACAGAGGCGAAAUCCCCGGGCUCAACCUGGGAACUGCCUUUGUGACUGCAUCGCUGGAGUGCGGCAGAGGGGGAUGGAAUUCCGCGUGUAGCAGUGAAAUGCGUAGAUAUGCGGAGGAACACCGAUGGCGAAGGCAAUCCCCUGGGCCUGCACUGACGCUCAUGCACGAAAGCGUGGGGAGCAAACAGGAUUAGAUACCCCGGUAGUCC
This 791-nucleotide ribosomal RNA is filed under the name uncultured bacterium. Its description in RNAcentral is "bacterial SSU rRNA". It matches the Rfam family "Bacterial small subunit ribosomal RNA", at positions 8 to 796 of the family's 1533-position model. The record is from RNAcentral.